UAGAUCUGAUCUAGAAUUGUGAAACAAUCGCUAUAUUCUAAAAACUUAAAUUAUAAAAAAUAAUAUUUUUAUAUUUAACAUUCUCUUUUACAUAUGUUAGGGUUCAAGACUUCUUGAUAUAACUAUGAUGAAUUUGAAUUAAAUGUGAGAAAAUUAAUUAUACUAAAAGCCUGGCGUGAUUUGAACUCAGUACCUAAUGCUCUGAUACUACGUUAAAUAAUAUGACCGCUGUACUUUAUUAAGGUUAUGUUUGGGUCGGAUAUAAGUAAGAACGGUUUAUUACAGAGAUAGGUACAACUUCGGGUAUAAAUAAUAAAGUAAAUAG
This 325-nucleotide long non-coding RNA is filed under the name Ananas comosus (pineapple). RNAcentral describes it as "long non-coding RNA (ACOM_LNC034906)". Lineage: Eukaryota; Viridiplantae; Streptophyta; Magnoliopsida; Poales; Bromeliaceae. The record is from RNAcentral.